GUGCCAGCCGCCGCGGUAAUCCCGGCGCCACAAGUAGGGAGCAGGGUUAUUGGGCCUAAAGCGUUCGUAGCAGGUCGUAUAAAUCUCUUGUGAAAUCGUUGGGCUUAACCUAACGGCGUGCAGGAGAGACUGUUCGACUUGAGAUCGGGAGGGGUAGAGAGUAUUCCUUGGGGAGCGGUAAAAUGCUAUAAUCCUUGGAAGACUACCUGUGGCGAAGGCGCUCUACCAGAACGAGUCUGACUGUGAGGGACGAAAGCUAGGGGAGCAAUCCGGAUUAGAUACCCUCGUAGUCC
Molecule: ribosomal RNA, 293 nt
Filed under: uncultured bacterium
Lineage: Bacteria
Description: partial 16S ribosomal RNA
Rfam family: Archaeal small subunit ribosomal RNA
Source: RNAcentral